GAUUUCCGUGGAGAGGAACAAUUCUGAGUUUUUACUCAAUUUUUUGAGGCCUUGCCUUUGCAAGGCUACUUAUGGUGUUAUAAAAAAUAGAUUUUGAGCUUGUUAAUACUGAGUUUUGAGUAUAGAUUAUGGAGUGCUUGAGUAGAUGAGUGAAAUUGGGUGCAUAGAAAAAAUGAAUCAAAAAGAAAAAAAAAGUAGUCAAGUAGCGCAGUUCAGUCAGUGAUGCUACCCGGCUAUUCCCCAGACUAAUGUGUACUGCUGUGCGUAAAAGUGAAAAUGAAGUCCGCUCAGUUGUGUCCGAUUCUUAGCGACCCCAUGAACUGCAGACUACCAGACGCCUUCCUUUGCUCGGAGUUUCCCGGCAAGAAUACUGGACAGAUAGUCUUUCCCAGCUGAUGUUUUUCCAAUGAG
Long non-coding RNA from Bos taurus (domestic cattle), 411 nucleotides. NCBI's taxonomy places the organism in Eukaryota, Metazoa, Chordata, Mammalia, Artiodactyla, Bovidae. The record is from Ensembl.